This 449-nucleotide long non-coding RNA is filed under the name Geospiza fortis (medium ground-finch). RNAcentral describes it as "lncRNA (ENSGFOG00000002590.1)". The record is from RNAcentral. Lineage: Eukaryota; Metazoa; Chordata; Aves; Passeriformes; Thraupidae.
CUCUCCCCUCUGCCUUGCAGAUCCUCUGUGCUGGCUGCCAUGCCUACCCGAACCUGUGCCAGCACCUGGGAAGGAGCCAGCCACUGUGGGGUUCCCUCAUGCAGCUCUUGAAGGGUGAGGUCCCUGUGGUAGAGGUGACCCAGGAGGCAGCCUGUGAAGCCUCUCUGUACCUGCUGGCCCUGCUCACCCUGCAGCUUCAGGCAUCCCCUCCCAGGUGUGAGGAGAUGGUUGCCCUGGCUGUGGAUCUCAUCACCCAGUCUCCUGUUGUGUCCCUUGUGGGUGCUGCAGCAUUUCUCCUGGCACAGCUCAGUCAGCAUGGGGUGGCUUUGGAGCUCAAGAGAGAAAAGAUCCUACCAGUGGUAGCAAAUGCGCUGACUGCACCUGCUGAGGUAUGGGAUGGGGAGACAGAAGCUGGGGACCCAUGCAUCCCCCACUGUAGAGGUGUGCAA